Non-coding RNA from Mustela putorius furo (domestic ferret), 147 nucleotides. Lineage: Eukaryota; Metazoa; Chordata; Mammalia; Carnivora; Mustelidae. The record is from Rfam.
GACUUUGCGCAGUGGCAGUAUCGGAGCCAAUGAGGUUUAUCCGAGGCGCGAUUAUUGCUAAUUGAAAACCUACUCCAAAGUAAAGUAAAGGAACCUCCCUAGCUAAUGGGCGGAGUCUUUUAGAUUCUGUUUAGUCAACUCCAGUUG